This 667-nucleotide ribosomal RNA is filed under the name Flavobacterium sp. B1342. Its description in RNAcentral is "bacterial SSU rRNA". It matches the Rfam family "Bacterial small subunit ribosomal RNA", at positions 90 to 755 of the family's 1533-position model. The record is from RNAcentral. Lineage: Bacteria; Pseudomonadati; Bacteroidota; Flavobacteriia; Flavobacteriales; Flavobacteriaceae.
AGAGACCGGCGCACGGGUGCGUAACGCGUAUGCAAUCUACCUUUCACAGAGGGAUAGCCCAGAGAAAUUUGGAUUAAUACCUCAUAGUAUAUAUGAAUGGCAUCAUUUAUAUAUUAAAGUCACAACGGUGAAAGAUGAGCAUGCGUCCCAUUAGCUAGUUGGUAAGGUAACGGCUUACCAAGGCAACGAUGGGUAGGGGUCCUGAGAGGGAGAUCCCCCACACUGGUACUGAGACACGGACCAGACUCCUACGGGAGGCAGCAGUGAGGAAUAUUGGACAAUGGGCGCAAGCCUGAUCCAGCCAUGCCGCGUGCAGGAUGACGGUCCUAUGGAUUGUAAACUGCUUUUAUACGAGAAGAAACCCUCCGACGUGUCGGAGCUUGACGGUAUCGUAAGAAUAAGGAUCGGCUAACUCCGUGCCAGCAGCCGCGGUAAUACGGAGGAUCCAAGCGUUAUCCGGAAUCAUUGGGUUUAAAGGGUCCGUAGGCGGUCAGGUAAGUCAGUGGUGAAAGCCCAUCGCUCAACGGUGGAACGGCCAUUGAUACUGUCUGACUUGAAUUAUUAGGAAGUAACUAGAAUAUGUAGUGUAGCGGUGAAAUGCUUAGAGAUUACAUGGAAUACCAAUUGCGAAGGCAGGUUACUACUAAUGGAUUGACGCUGAUGGACG